This 85-nucleotide transfer RNA is filed under the name bacterium ADurb.Bin363. RNAcentral's name for it is "tRNA-Leu". It matches the Rfam family "tRNA". Rfam says of the family: Transfer RNA (tRNA) molecules are approximately 80 nucleotides in length. Their secondary structure includes four short double-helical elements and three loops (D, anti-codon, and T loops). Further hydrogen bonds mediate the characteristic L-shaped molecular structure. tRNAs have two regions of fundamental functional importance: the anti-codon, which is responsible for specific mRNA codon recognition, and the 3' end, to which the tRNAs corresponding amino acid is attached (by aminoacyl-tRNA synthetases). tRNAs cope with the degeneracy of the genetic code in two manners: having more than one tRNA (with a specific anti-codon) for a particular amino acid; and 'wobble' base-pairing, i.e. permitting non-standard base-pairing at the 3rd anti-codon position. RNAcentral also lists the same sequence under 1 other name. The record is from RNAcentral.
GCGGAGGUGGCGGAACUGGUAGACGCACUAGGUUGAGGGCCUAGCGGACAUUGAGUCCAUAAGGGUUCAAGUCCCUUCCUCCGCA